UACGAAGGGGGCUAGCGUUGUUCGGAAUUACUGGGCGUAAAGCGCACGUAGGCGGUUUUCCAAGUUGGAGGUGAAAUCCCCGGGCUUAACCUGGGAACUGCCUCCAAGACUGGGAGACUCGAGUCCGAGAGAGGUGAGUGGAAUUUCCAGUGUAGAGGUGAAAUUCGUAGAUAUUGGAAAGAACACCAGUGGCGAAGGCGGCUCACUGGCUCGGUACUGACGCUGAGGAGCGACAGCGUGGGGAGCAAACAGG
Molecule: ribosomal RNA, 253 nt
Filed under: uncultured Parvibaculum sp.
Lineage: Bacteria; Pseudomonadati; Pseudomonadota; Alphaproteobacteria; Hyphomicrobiales; Parvibaculaceae
Description: partial 16S ribosomal RNA
Rfam family: Bacterial small subunit ribosomal RNA
Source: RNAcentral